UCUAUUCAUUUUACAAUAUGGGUCCAAAACAUUUGCUCUUCCGACUUCCUUCUCUUCUAUUCCAAUCGAUCGGAGGAGUAAUUCAAUUCUCCUUCAAGAGUUCAACAAUACUUGUAGCUCUUUUCAUCUUCUUAUCUAUUUGUUAGAUUUCAGACGAUGCAGAAUCACCAUUUUAAGGGUUAUUCUUUGUCCAAUUCAUUGAUGUUGCCUUCUUCUCGCUGAUUUGCCUUCUUAAGCUGCAGGUGUUGGUUCAAUCUUCUUCAGCUUUUUCAGAUCAAGAAGGGACAUGCAGAGCCUGUGACUUCAAUUAUGUCUUGAGUAGUCCACAUCUUUUCUCUACUUCUGCACUUUGGAUUUACUUUUUUUUUCUUUUAUUCUUGAUUGAGACUUCUUUUUUGUUAUCUCGGACCCUUGUCGACCCGCAUUCUUAAGGCGAGCUUCUGCUACUUCUAACAUGAAUCGGAUUCUGAAAUGUUUUUCCUUGU
Molecule: long non-coding RNA, 485 nt
Organism: Nicotiana tabacum (common tobacco)
Lineage: Eukaryota; Viridiplantae; Streptophyta; Magnoliopsida; Solanales; Solanaceae
Source: RefSeq, a predicted model, not a curated record